GUUCAAAUCUGAAGUUUUGAAAGAAUCACGGUCUUCUGAGACUUUCACUACAGGAAAAGUGCUAAUUACCGACGGCCUUGUACCGAAGGCCUUAGAGCCGUCGGUAAAGCAUUGGUGAUUUUAAAUACCGAAGGGCCGUAGGCCGUCGGUAAGUUGCUCCAUGAAUUCAGAUAAAAAUUUCAGAUUUCCCUCUCGUCGAAUUACUUNGUCCCCGUGCUGUAAAAACCUAAUAGCGUUUUCUUCCCUCCAAAAGUUGAUUGUGGUUCUUCCCCGGCAAAGCUGCUCUCGNGUUUUUUGUCGGCGAAGGUCCAUUAGGGUCAUUGACGGGAAGGGUGUGGGCCAUUGACGGUGUGGUGAGGAUGGUGGUGUCCUGAGCAGAGGCGAUUGGUACUGUGGUUGGGCGAUUAGGGUUUCGGUUGGGGGAUUCCUGCACNUUCUUUGGCUGCCGUGGUGUAGGGAGGCCAUUGUGGNGGUAGGGUGUCGAGAAUCAUCCCUUUCGUGCAAGAGGUAACUGUUAUUUAUUUAAUCCUUGGUUGAGAUACUUGCAAGAUACCCAUGAUAUGACCACAUGAUUGGGAUAUUAAAAAUUUCAUUUNAUAAACAAAGUGGUGAAGAGAUUGAGGCANAUAUGUCAUAGGGUUCUCGUGAGGUCAAUGAAAUGGUGGAUAUUUUUUAUUAAAAGGUGCUGAUAGAACUGAUAUUAGAAUUAGAAAGAAAGAGACNAUCUUGAAUUUUGUUGCCUCCCUAAUUCCAGUCCCAACAAAAGUAGUAAGGAUGGAGUCAAGGAAUAGAAAGAAUAGAACAGUACACAAUACAAUUACAGGUCAAUAGAGAGAACCUCACUUUCCAAAUAUCAUUAUAUUUUAC
This 867-nucleotide long non-coding RNA is filed under the name Vigna radiata. RNAcentral describes it as "long non-coding RNA (VRAD_LNC018145)". Lineage: Eukaryota; Viridiplantae; Streptophyta; Magnoliopsida; Fabales; Fabaceae. The record is from RNAcentral.